Molecule: long non-coding RNA, 9131 nt
Organism: Amphiprion ocellaris (clown anemonefish)
Lineage: Eukaryota; Metazoa; Chordata; Actinopteri; Pomacentridae
Exons: 3
Source: RefSeq, a predicted model, not a curated record
GGGCGGUACUAUGCACACCUUUAUAUUCAGGUGUGCAGCGGUGGAGCUUCCUGUCCUCCGCUCCCUGCUUGCUUCCGUGGUGGCUGUGGUUUGGCAUGACGGCGUUGGUGGACGCAGCCAUUCUCUGGUGUAUCCAGCUGUUGUGAUUGCCGUCAAGUCAUGCUGUCUGAAUACCGUGGCUGAGUGCUGGGGUGAAUUCCCCGGGGUGAAGCGGGGAUCUGCUGGAGCCCUGCUGGGCAUAGGAUCACAGGCUCGCUCUGGGUGUGUGCGCGUGUGUGUGAGCCGUAUUCUUGUGGCUCACACCCUCCAGUUGCCAGUUAACAGCCCGACAUAAUCUGACCGCCACCAUCACUUCAAGCUGAGCUGCUGUUUUGGUUUUCUUUGAUAAUCGUCUGGUGAACUGUUUGUGUUUUUGGUUUUGUUUGUUUGCGGCGACUUGUAGCGGACUUCUCAGCCCAGUACGGCUGAGUGCCGUCUGCGUCCGCUCCGUGCAGAGGCUGGUUGUGUUGCUGCUGUGCCAGAACUUGUACAGCUGCAAGGGCUACUUCACUGGAUGGUGUUUUGUUUUCUUUGUUAUUUGGAAAUUAAUUUAGGAAUUUCCUUUUGGUAUUUUGUUUUGCUUUGUUGCAUUAGUUGGUUUAAUUGUCUUUUUUUUUGUUUUCUUUGUGAGUUUAUUCAGCCUCAUGUAUUGAUUUAAUCCAUCAUUUAUUGUUCUUUGGUUUCGUUUUCUUUUGUCCACACCAGUUAUGGUUAGUUUGGGCACAUUUUAUUAAUCUUUGUCUCUGUCUUCUGUGUAUAGGUGCUGUGGCUUACUGCGGCAGUUAUUUCCUGCUGGUGGUGUCUUCUUCACGGUCCCCCCUUUCUUUUGGUUUUGUGUGUCUGUGUGUUAUUUGCAGUGUCACGGGUGAUUCAUUUGAGGAUUCCUCUCCCCUUUUGGUUAUCCUGCCGCAGGGUAAGCCCCAGCCCGGGUUUUUAUUCCAGUGAAACACACCUGAGCUAGGAUUUCCUGGGUGCAAGUUGGGACCAUAAUUGGUCUCAUUAGGUACAAACAUUCCUCUAAUCUCGCCACAGAGUCCCAAACUGCAAACUCAACUGUUUUAAGACUUCAUUUGUUCCAACUGCCAUCAAAUUCCUGAACAAUGCUGCUUAGGCUGAAGAUUGUGCAAUCAUUUUUUAAAAAAUAGUGUUUUUACUAUGGUGUACGUGUAAUGUUUGGGAUUUGUGCAAUACUGUUUUGUAGUUGUUGAGAUGGCAUUGAUGGCACAGCUUUUGAGUCCAAGAUAAAUUUCCCCAAGUGGUACAAUAAAAGUAAACGUAUUUUGUACAGGAGGAGGAAGACAAGACAGGUCGACAAUUGUUGCUGCAUCGAAUAGACUCAAAAGUGCUGGUUUGCUGGAAAGUAGUUCUGUGGAUCUGCACACCAUUGAUCUUCCUCAGUGAACCAAGUGUAUGACGCAAACUGAUUCUGAAUCUCAAACUGAAUUUGCAACUUUACAAGAAAAAUUAUUUAUUAAUAAUACAGGCAAAUGCAAAUAACAGAAGGCUCAAAAAGACAAACAAUCAGAAAAAUUAAACACUGAUUUUAAGUGGAUAUAAACGUAGAAAACAAAUACAAAAGUGAUGUUUUACGAAUGUAUUUGACAAACUUUACAGAUGUAGCCUACAUGAUUGCAGUGUAAAAUAUGCCACUGUCUGGAGCUCUAACCGCAGUCAUGCAUCACCUUUCAUUACAAUCUGAAUGUUACAAGCAGAGCAAUACCCACAAAUCUAAUGUGCAAGGGCCUAUGUGGGACAAGUACUGCUUUAAAAGUGAUGAACAGAAUUUUAAAAUAAAUGCAAUAAUAAUAAAAUUGUAGCAGUGGUCAAAAUAUCAAUGGUAAGAAAAUAAAUAUAUUAAUAAUUGUCAAAAUAAAAUGGUUAACUGCCUUUAAAACCGUUACAAUGACAUUUGUCUAAACGGCAGGUGAAAGAGUUCCUUUUUACGUUCAGUUGGUCUGAUUCAAUAAUGUUGCUUGUGUUGUACAUGUUCAGAGAAGCAGGACUGUCACAGUAGAUGAAUUAACUUCAAAGAUCAAGUCAAAUUUAAGACUUUAGUCUCUGCUUUAUUUAAAAAGGCAACAUAUUCCACAGUUGUCAUUUUUGAGAUUCAGAUUCCGUACUGAAUAAACUAUUAGAAGUUAACUGAGACUUAAACGUAUUCAAUUUCCAUUGGCACUCAGGUUUUCGACACAAUCAUUUUGAAGCCCGAGUUUGGUCAUCAAGCUUGUCUUCUGUUUUUGAUUGGAGGAAUAUGAUCAGGAUGGAAAAUACAAUAACUGCUGUGUGUAGGUAAUACUUUAUCAGGGUUGUCUUUAGGAAGAACAUUCUUAAAUUUGGCAGUAGGUGGAAGAAAUACAACAUUAAUGAGAGAGCACUUAUCUAAAAAUACUGGUAACCCACUGCUUCUCCCAGAAGGCCAGAGGAGGUGAAAGUGUAUAAACCUUUACUAGAAGAACAGAGUAUGCCCUGGAUAAGAAAAUCCAAGUUGUGAGAAGCAGUAAAAUAACCGGUUAUGAGCUCAAUGCACACAGCUGAUAUGGUGCAGUUUCCUGUAUUACCUAAUUCCUUCUGUUUCUCACUAGCACAGCAUGAAGACUGAACCUGCUACUCCUGAAACAAUAAAACCAGGAGUUGACCAGCAGAGGGAGUUGCAGACUGCAGUGGUUGAGUACUGACGACUACUGAGUUGAACUUUGUGUGGUACUGAAGCUGGAGCGACUAUAGCAAGAAGGCAAACUAAUACAAACAACUGAGGUAUGAAAAGGAGAAGUUGUUUCGAGACUGUUGCCGUUGUACAUCACAUCACUUUACAGUGACCCUGGAAGUAAGAAACGGAUAUUUUUUAAUGAUACGGCAUCUAAAAUGAUUGAAAAAGAGAUGUAAAAUUAGCAUUUUGUUUAAGGUAUGUAUGAAAGCUCUCAUGUGCAUAGUUAAGUUCCUAUGUACACUCAUUGUGCUGUUUGUUAUUCUUUUUUUAAUCAAAUAAUCUUGAUGAAAUUUACAUAUGUUCUUUAUGCAAUUACACAAGUCAAGUUCCUUCUUCCUGUUGGUUUCUCCUUUCUGUCCUUUGUGGUUGAAUGCAGGCUGCAUGACAUAAAAGGAUACAUCAAAAAGUUCUCGGCCUCACCAGAAAACAUCUUGGGAGAAAGACUGUUCUUGCACUAUCUUUCUCCUUUAACUUUGAUGGCUGCAUUGUCCUGGGGUGACUGCACGCAAGCUCAAAAUCUUUUUCUCUUUUGUCCUUAGAUUGCUUCAAACAUUUGAGUUUCUGUGGACAGUAAUGCAAGGCUUUAUAGUAUACAUUAUGCCCCAAAAUAGGAGUUACACCCCUUGUUUCUGUGCGAGGAUGAAAACUUUUCGAAGUACCCUUGUAAUUGUAUUUGAAAAUCAUAUCUACAAACAUGUCUUUAAGUUUCAGGAAGUGUGACCUGUGCACCAGGCACAGAAGCAGGUAAAAGGUGCAGCAGCCCUGGUGAGCAGCACAUGGUAGGCCUGUCGAAACUGUCGGUUCAUGACAGCAUAGAGCACAGGGUUGAUGCAGCUGUUGAGCCAGGUGAGGUUGGAGCAGAACAUUUGCAGUACAUUUGGGGCAUGGUUUUGUUUGUCUGCUAUGUGAAGCAACAGGAAGGGCACAAAGCAGAACACAAAACACACAAAAACAGUUAAGGACACUAUUAUAAAAUAAUUAAAUUAAAAACAUUGAAUGAGAAGGUGUGUCCAAACAUUUGACUGGCAGUGAAUAUGCAUUUUUUUCCAAGUUGCUCAAAACUUGACAUACUCACAUUUACCUUUAAUGUUCUAUAAAGCAAAUUUUGGCUUUUGGAAUAAAUUCCCUGUGAGUCAAAAACAACUCACUUUUAGUGUACAUGUAUGACCAUCGCUUAAACUCCAGAGUAAAAAUAACUUUUAAAAAAAAAAAAAAAAAUUGAUCUUGAACCCCUUUUAAAAACUGAACCCCUUUGUUAAAAUUGUACUCCUCAGGUGUUAAAGUUCUAAUCUGAUAUAGCGUAUGUGUAACACUAAAACUAAAAUAUUAACUCAUUAUCAGUGUCAGGACGAACACUUUAAAUAUAUGUAGUUCAACCCUCUUUUAGAGUUAACAAUUCUAUAUUAUUCAUAUGUUUUAUAUAAAAAUGACUGCUGCGCCAUGUACUCCUUACAACACUUGUUUUAUUUGAAAGAGUAUUGCUUAGAUUUAAACCACCCUCAAGAUUAUAACAGUGCAGCAUAAGUUGUAUAAAACUGUCAGUAACACACACACUGCAUUAGAACAAUAAAAACCUAACAGCACUGUCUGUUUAGUGCAACAUUGUGUAACAUGAGGUGAACAAACUGUUGAAUUUACUUCUCUUGAAGUACAUAAAAACAGGGAAGAAAAACAUCACAUGGAUCCCAUUCAGAUAAAUCAGAUAACACAAUUUUCUGAUACAACAUACAACUGGAAGUCAUAUCCAUAUGUAAAGAACCCAAGAAUGGUAAGCAUACCCAAGUUAUCUCCUGUAAUCUGUACAAACUUACCAUUUAUAGGUUAUUCAGCAAAUGGAACAGGAACCCCAUCAGUUUCAAGCACAGUUAAGUCCCGUAUUAAAGGUUUCAGCAUUUCAUCAAUACCAUAUUUCUUAAUAUCUUGUGCAUCAAACAAUGAUACCAAAUGGAUGUUCUUCAGGUUAGAAUUCAGAGGAAGGUUUCUGAGAAUCAAGUAAAGGUAGCCAACUUUAUAUAUACCUUUUUGUGACCCAUGAGGAUUUACAUAUUCAAAUUUAUCAUAGUAUAUUUGUAUUUGGAGAGCAAAUCUAUGAACCGAAAACAAAGAAUGACUUUUAAAGCGGCUUCUCUCACAGAAGUUCUCUUUUCAUUUAUGAAAAUGAAUUGGAAUGUUUUUAGAAUGGGAACAUAGAUGAAGUCAUCAUUGACAGCAACUUGUCUGAAAGUCCCAGUUGUAUUAUUUCAUCUGGUAUCAUACCAUAUCACAACACCAAUGUGCGGUUCAACUGGCUACACUAUACCCCAUUUGUCCUUGAAAUAUUUCUUCCAUUUAGUAUCAGAAUUCUUCUAUGUAACAGAUGGCAAUGGUUUCAUGCGGGACACAUAUAUUAUCAGUUAAAGCAUGUGUCUUAAUAAGAUGUCUCCUAAACCCAGAAUAACUAGCGAACUGCAAACAAUAAACUGUCUGACUGCAUUUUAGUCGUAGGCUUUUUGCUGGAUACAUUCCAUGAAUUAGUUUUAGGUGACUGAACAAAAGCAAAACUGUACCAAAGGAUGAAGUUCAGAGGAAACAACUUAACAUUCUGGCUGAACAAAAUAGUUACCGUUUGUUCAACAACCUUGCUCUGAGCUCUCUGACUCUUGGAGUUUCUUCAGUUCUACGAUGUCAAUAUUGUACACAGUUGUUUGUAAAGAUGUCUACAUGCUUGACAGGGAAUCAUCAUACUUCACACUGAACACAAAAUGAGACUUAAAUAGCUCAUCAAAAGUCACCAAGGAUGUACAUGACUGACAUGUUACAAGCUUUUUGUCCAAGACAACAUAGAAGGUGGAAACCUUCACUUUUAAAAUCCCUCUGGCAAGAAGAUAUGGCUGAGAGCCUCCUUCAGUGGUCUUCAGAUGGUCCUCAAGGCUUUGACAUGACUGAAGCACAAUGAAAACAUCCACUUAUAAAUAAUUUGCUUAAAAAAUGUUAAAUUUACUGCAAUAUUUUGAAUGAUACAGUGUUAUUCACAAACCUUUUGAAAUUCCACCAGACGAUCUAUUGCCUCAUCAAUGCUGAGUUUCUUGGGCCGUUUUCUUCCAGUUGGUUGUGGUGUGAGAAGAUGCAGCAGGACAAGAAGAGACGACAUAUCACUGUCCCACUCUGGAAAUAGAGUAAAUAAUAACUAGUUAUUUUAAAAUGGGCCAUUUUGUGAAUCUCUAGACUCUGUUACACUUGUUUUAUGAUAAUCUUUUGAAAUAGAAGAGCAAAAGUGUGCUACUUCAAGCAAAUGUUUGUUAGAGACCAGAACAUUCUUCCUGUUAAAUGCUAAACAACAAACUGUUAUGCAAACAGAUUUUCAGUUAUUUAACAAUACAGUUUGUUCUUCUGUCUUCUAGUCAAUUAAAUCCUUCUGCAUCCUGGAGAUUUUAUUUGAUUUUGAUGAUGCACCUGGAUCAUCAGUGGUGUCAGAUCCUUCAUUCAGAGCAGAUGUCGUUUUAGAAGUAAGGUCUCCUUUAGGUUCCUGACCUCCUGGAUGACUUUGUCUUUAAAACUGGUGUUCCAUUUUUGCAAGAACCUUGAUGCAACCUCUUCUCCAAACAUCACUGAGAAGUCUUGCAAAAUCUGAUUUAAAAGGAAAAGAUAGCUAUGUCUGCCACCUAAUGUAAACCUACUAUUUUAAUGCAGCUUUUUAAAAUUAUUUUUUAAUACCUACCAGUCCUUUAGUAUCCAAAAAACAAGGAACCAUUUCUUGUACAUCAGCUGAGUGUUGUGGAUCAUGCAGAAUUUGCUGACGGUACUGGAAGGUUUCGCUCAUCUUCUGGAAGACUAAGUCACGGUCUGUUGCGUGGUGGAGAAGAGAUAUGACUUCCAUACAGUCAUCUCCCGCUUGCUGGUCACCUGUGGUAACUACGGUGAUUCUUCAGGAUGUGGGACCUCCUUUAAUCACAACUUUCUUCAGGGAUGGAGAGGCUGGACUGACAUAGCAGAGUCUUUACAUGAACACAGUGAACUCUCGGCUGUUCAGUCAUUCAACUCAUCACUUUAAGUCAAAAUGCUUCAAGAUAUAAGCGCUUUUGUUUUUAGGUUCUAAAGUGGUUGGUAUGUCUAGCUUAGUCUUGUUUCACUUAUUUCCUGUUGUAGUUUGGCAUUUCCUGUUGUGUGUUUGUAUUCCCCCUCUGUCUCAGGUGUCUUUACCCUCCCCGGUCUUUGCUUUCCUGCCUAAUGUGCUCCACCUUUGUGUGAUAGUCUUCCCUGUCCCAGUGUGUACAUUUACUCAAUCUUUCCACUUUGUCUUGUGCCGUCCUGACAGUGUUCCUUGUGUAUCUGGUUUGGACCUUUGGUUUUUAGGCCUUUGUGUUUCUUUAUUGUUUGUAUUCUGUUGUUUUUGUUUGUUUGUUUGUUUGCUUUUGGAUACUUGAUUAUCUUUUGCCUGUCGCCUGUGCUUUUGUGUUGUCUGGAUUGUGUUUUUCUUUUUUUCUUUGUAUAAGCUUGGAUUAAAGCUUGCUUUUUGUUCCUUUGUUUUUUGUUUUUUUUUGUUUGUUUUUUUUUUGUUUUUUUUUACAUUAGUUGUCCCUUUCUCCAUUUUGGGUCCUUUGGGUUUUUUAAUGACAGUAAAAACUAGCCCAUUAUGAGCCCAGCAGACCUUUUUCUGGACAGUGAGUCCUACGAUUUUUAGAUGGACCUAAUCUGUAUAUACGGGGAAUGGAAAAGGGCCCCCAGCAAGGAUUUUAAUGCUGUUUAUCUGAGGCAUGCAUAAAUGCUACACAUGCCUUAGAUGAGGGGCACAUUACCAGAGUAUAUCACAGAUGUCAUCCUAGACUUGUUGCUCCAUGCCAGCUCCUCAGUCAGUCAGAAUCCUGUUUCCCAGUCAACUUAGCCCAUGCUAGCUCCACAGCCAACCAGCCACCAGCCUGCUAAAUCCCUGCCAGCUCCUGAGUUAGCCAAACUUGGGCCUGUUAGCUCCACAGGCUUUAGAGUGACUUUAACUUCCAGCCUGUUAGGCACCAGGGAGUUUCAAGUCCUGUGUCGACUAACCUGCUACCUGUCCCCAUCCUGCCCCUCUAGAAACCAUCUCUGAUGCUGCCAAUGUAGCUGAGUAAAUAACUGGAUGUAAUGUAUAUUUUUGGUGAACCUUCUCAAAAUGUGUAUUUUAUUUCCGUUAUUAUUUGUGGGUUAUUUUUGCGUUUCUUUUGUCAAGUAGUUUACAGUUGUCUGUAUAUGGUUCCAGUUUACCUGUUGUAGCGGGGGGGUCAUUAAUUAGUGGCACACACGUCCGAGGCACACGUGACAAAGCUGUGUAUUCCUGGCGAAAGCUGGACGGCUUCUGAUGAGGUAGGACAUAUGAUGAUGCUCUCUCUCCUAAUUGUUAAUCUAGUGGCCAUAAAAUAUUCAAAACUCUCUCUCACUCUUCAAAACUUCAUAAAAACUUAAGAAAUAGAUGCUAAUGAUUUUUUGAGUGAAUUUUGAUUUUAAUUUUGAUCGGUUAAACUUACGUUUUAAAAAUGAUUUUCUGACAAUUACCGCGGAGUAUUCUCAUUCGCAUGUGUUUGACCUGCUGCAGGAGAGAGAUAGACUAAACUGCUGCCUGUGUGUGUGUCGCUGUAUUUUGACCUGUGCCUCUCCUUUAUAGAAUAAACGUGCUGAUCCUGUGGAGUGUGAGCGAUCAUUUUAAGUCUGCUACACCAAGGAGUCUCCUUUCUGAGGGAUUCACCUAGUCAUUAAGCCAACCCCCAAUGAAUGCAAAGGUCCCAGUCACUCCACAUCUCCAUUUCUUCCAGCUCUUUGUCUUUCCUACUAGACAAGGCUGUUGGACUCUACAGCAAGUCAGAAAGCCUCAAAGUUGUAGAGCCCAGUAUAUGUUCCAGCAGAUCUGAACUAAAUCAGCCAAUUUCCUGCCAGAUCCUGCCCAUCGUGAUUCCCUCAAGACACCUUGACCUGGGAACUCUUCAGUAGGAAGCCAUAUUACAGACCUCACCUCUCCAAAGUGGUCCCCCGUCAACCAGUCCUGCUUCCAUUCAGAUUCUUCAUCUAACGAGGGUUGAUACCAUCUCAUCUGUCCCUGCCUCAACCAGUGUCAAGUCCAGGACCCAGCCAGAGUCAGCUGACAUUUCCUCUGGUCCAGAGAUGGCUACUGAGUCAGCUGACAUCAUUUCUCCUGCUUUGCAGUCAGGUGACCUCACCAUAGCUCCAGACUCUCAGAUUGCUCCCAGCUCGGUCCUGUCUGUAUCAUGGCCUGUCUCGCUGCCUUCAUGGACCUCUGACUCACUGCUGUCCCCCCAGUGGAGUCCUGCCUCCACUUGUGCCGCUGCCACCAGCCUCUGCUGCCGGUCUCCCAGAGAGGUGAAUUGAUUUCACUAAAUUCCUUUAUGUUUUACAAUGUAUGUCAAAGCAGAAAAUCACU